CAUAUAUUUGGGAGCCAUCGAC
Molecule: non-coding RNA, 22 nt
Filed under: Rattus norvegicus (Norway rat)
Lineage: Eukaryota; Metazoa; Chordata; Mammalia; Rodentia; Muridae
Source: RNAcentral